CAUAUGAUUUUCAUGGACAAAAAACCUUACAGCUGUAGAUGAUCUAAGGUUGCUAACCACAAUAGGUGAAACUCCAAUCAUUUUAACACCCAAAGAGCAACUUAAAUGGAAAAAUAAUUGAUUCAACAAAGUUUCCAUAUGAGUUUCCUCUGAUCUGAUGUACAAGCAAGCUUUAAUGGCAGAUGCAUGGAUAAGGGAAGCUGAAGAAGCAUUAAAGUUGGUGGAAGACAUAGAAAAUAGAGUAAACAACAAUGACCCAUCACUACAAGACCAUGGAAAUUGCGUUAUAGACAUUGCCGCUCGUUCCAAGCUUUUAGAUGUUGGGAUGAAAAUUGAUCGACUUGAAGCACUUCUUAGAAACCUUCCUUCAAAACUUAUUUUGUAUGUUUCAUAUUUCUCUCUAUUAAUUACAUCUUAGAUUGUUUGUUUUCAAUGGAAUGCAUGAUUAAUAUCCAAAA
Molecule: long non-coding RNA, 458 nt
Organism: Gossypium arboreum
Lineage: Eukaryota; Viridiplantae; Streptophyta; Magnoliopsida; Malvales; Malvaceae
Exons: 2
Source: RefSeq, a predicted model, not a curated record